UCCUGGCUCAGGAUGAACGCUAGCGACAGGCUUAACACAUGCAAGUCGAGGGGCAGCGGUGGUGAAGGCUUGCCUUUACCAGCCGGCGACCGGCGCACGGGCGAGUAACACGUAUGCAACCUGCCUGCCACAGCCGGAUAAUCGGGAGAAAUUCCGUCUAAUACGGCAUAAUGCACCUAUGGGACAGGGGGUGGGGGCCAAAGGUUAAUUCCGGUGGCGGAUGGGCAUGCGUCCGCAUUACCUAGUUGGGGGGUGGAACUGACCCACCAAGACAACGAUGCGUAGGGGUUCUGAGAGGGAGGUCCCCCACACUGGUAAUGAGACACGGACCAGACUCUUACGGGAGGCAGCAGUGAGGAAUAUUGGUCAAUGGGCGGGAGCCUGAACCAGCCAAGUGGCGUGAGGGAUGACGGCCCUAUGGGUUGUAAACCUCUUUUGCCGGGGAGCAAAGUGCCGCACGUGUGCGGUUUGGAGAGUACCCGGAGAAAAAGCAUCGGCUAACUCCGUGCCAGCAGCCGCGGUAAUACGGAGGAUGCGAGCGUUAUCCGGAUUUAUUGGGUUUAAAGGGUGCGUAGGCGGACGCUUAAGUCAGCGGUAAAAUUGCGGGGCUCAACCUCGUCGAGCCGUUGAAACUGGGUGCCUUGAGUGGGCGAGAAGUACGCGGAAUGCGUGGUGUAGCGGUGAAAUGCAUAGAUAUCACGAAGAACUCCGAUUGCGAAGGCAGCGUACCGGCGCCCAACUGACGCUGAAGCACGAAGGCGUGGGUAUCGAACAAGAUUAGAUACCCUGGUAGUCCACGCAGUAAACG
This 808-nucleotide ribosomal RNA is filed under the name uncultured bacterium. RNAcentral's name for it is "bacterial SSU rRNA". It matches the Rfam family "Bacterial small subunit ribosomal RNA", at positions 17 to 808 of the family's 1533-position model. The record is from RNAcentral.